AGUGAACGCUGGCGGCGUGCUUAACACAUGCAAGUCGAACGAGAACGGAAUAUAGCUUGCUAUAUUUGUCAGCUAAGUGGCGCACGGGUGAGUAAUGUAUAGAUAACCUGCCCUUAAGAAAGGAAUAACAGUUGGAAACGACUGCUAAUGCCCUAUAUGCCUUUAAUACACAAGUAUGCAAGGGAAACGCUUUAGUGCUUAAGGAUGGGUCUGUAUGGUAUCAGCUUGUUGGUGAGGUAAUGGCUCACCAAGGCUAUGACGCCUAACUGGUUUGAGAGGAUGGUCAGUCACACUGGAACUGAGACACGGUGCAGACGCCUACGGGAGGCAGCAGUGGAGAAUAUUGCACAGUGGACGAAAGUCUGAUGCAGAAACGCCGCGUUGAGGAUGACACAUUUCGGUGCGUAAACUCCUUUUAUAUAGGAAGAUAAUGACGGUACUAUAUGAAUAAGCACCGGCUAACUCCGUGCCAGCCGCCGCGGUAA
This 485-nucleotide ribosomal RNA is filed under the name uncultured bacterium. Its description in RNAcentral is "partial 16S ribosomal RNA". It matches the Rfam family "Bacterial small subunit ribosomal RNA", at positions 29 to 523 of the family's 1533-position model. The record is from RNAcentral.